UACGUAGGGGGCAAGCGUUAUCCGGAUUUACUGGGUGUAAAGGGAGCGUAGACGGUUAUGUAAGUCUGGAGUGAAAGCCCGGGGCUCAACCCCGGGACUGCAUUUGGAACUGUGCUGCUAGAGUGUCGGAGAGGCAGGCGGAAUUCCUAGUGUAGCGGUGAAAUGCGUAGAUAUUAGGAGGAACACCAGUGGCGAAGGCGGCCUGCUGGACGAUGACUGACGUUGAGGCUCGAAAGCGUGGGGAGCAAACAGG
Molecule: ribosomal RNA, 253 nt
Filed under: uncultured Blautia sp.
Lineage: Bacteria; Bacillati; Bacillota; Clostridia; Lachnospirales; Lachnospiraceae
Description: partial 16S ribosomal RNA
Rfam family: Bacterial small subunit ribosomal RNA
Source: RNAcentral